GGAGUUUGAGUGGCAGGGAACCACAACAGGACGCAGCGUUCGCAAUGCUGAGGUUGAGGGUUCGAUCCCCUUCCGCUCCA
RNAcentral lists this transfer RNA (80 nucleotides) under Isosphaeraceae bacterium. RNAcentral's name for it is "tRNA-Ala". Lineage: Bacteria; Pseudomonadati; Planctomycetota; Planctomycetia; Isosphaerales; Isosphaeraceae. The record is from RNAcentral.